UGGGGAAUAUUGGACAAUGGGCGAAAGCCUGAUCCAGCCAUGCCGCGUGUGUGAAGAAGGUCUUCGGAUUGUAAAGCACUUUAAGUUGGGAGGAAGUGCAUUAACCUAAUACGUUAGUGUUUUGACGUUACCGACAGAAUAAGCACCGGCUAACUCUGUGCCAGCAGCCGCGGUAAUACAGAGGGUGCAAGCGUUAAUCGGAAUUACUGGGCGUAAAGCGCGCGUAGGUGGUUUGUUAAGUUGGAUGUGAAAGCCCCGGGCUCAACCUGGGAACUGCAUCCAAAACUGGCAAGCUAGAGUACGGUAGAGGGUGGUGGAAUUUCCUGUGUAGCGGUGAAAUGCGUAGAUAUAGGAAGGAACACCAGUGGCGAAGGCGACCACCUGGACUGAUACUGACACUGAGGUGCGAAAGCGUGGGGAGCAAACA
RNAcentral lists this ribosomal RNA (427 nucleotides) under uncultured bacterium. RNAcentral's name for it is "partial 16S ribosomal RNA". It matches the Rfam family "Bacterial small subunit ribosomal RNA", at positions 355 to 774 of the family's 1533-position model. The record is from RNAcentral.